Molecule: long non-coding RNA, 684 nt
Organism: Mesocricetus auratus (golden hamster)
Lineage: Eukaryota; Metazoa; Chordata; Mammalia; Rodentia; Cricetidae
Exons: 2
Source: RefSeq, a predicted model, not a curated record
UGCUGGCUUCUGGGUGACCCUGAUCCAAGAGCAGGUGACACAGGAAAGCCAUAGCUUAAGCCAAAGGCAGACAAGAGUGCGGAGAGUCUCCCCCUCUUUCCUCCUCGCUGUGCGAGACCUGAACGACAGGUGACCAGUGCAAUCUACAGCCCUGGUUCACUGGACUCUUCGGAGUGAAUGUUGUCCAUUCCGGAAGUUUCCUCAGACCCACUUACUGAUCGUGUUUUUAUUCGGUUUCGGUCUAGGGAACACAUCAAGCUUCAUGCUCACCAUGGAACCCAUGAAGGGGCAUUGCCUUAGCUGUGGAGGCGCAGGAGGAGGAAGUAGGGCUGGUCAGGCCGGUCCUUCAUGCUUGAAAAUGGCAGAAGAACCCUGAAUGUCCAGGCUUGGAUUUCCGCUCAUCUCUCAGGAAUCAAACCAACACGGACGACAAAACGUCUCCAAGCCAUGCGGCUCCAGGAAAAGACUGCAUUUAACUCCGUGACAGUGCAUCUGCUGGGGUAAUGGAGCUUGGCAAGCAGGCUCAACUGGGUCUUAUUCAUCCCGUGACCCUGCCCUCCAGCCCCGAGACCCCCCAACUCUACAGCUUCCACUGCUACAGUAGAGGUGCCCUGCACAGCAACCUGAGAAUGUCUGUGAUGAUUUUCUUUAUUCACAUUGCCAAGAAAAAAUAUCAAUGAACAA